Non-coding RNA from Pelobates cultripes (western spadefoot toad), 163 nucleotides. Lineage: Eukaryota; Metazoa; Chordata; Amphibia; Anura; Pelobatidae. The record is from the annotation of a GenBank genome assembly.
GCUGACACGUCCCGGCCAAUCUCCAGCAGACCCUCCCUCCCAGACCCUCCUACUUCCUGGACAGCAUCCAUGUUGAAACAUAUAUGUUGAAACAUGGAUGCUGUCCAGGAAGUAGGAGGGUCUGGGAGGGAGGGUCUGCUGGAGAUUGGCCGGGACAUGUCAG